AUACAUAUGUCUCAAGCGUUACCCGGAAUCACUGGGUGUAAAGGGUUCGUAGGCGGUUUAAGAAGUUGAAUAUGAAAGACCGAGGCUCAACCUCGUGUUUGUCUUCAAAACUGUUAAACUAGAAUCAGGGAGAGGUAAGCGGAAUUCUGUGUGUAGGGGUGCAAUCCGUAGAUACACAGAGGAACACCAAAAGCGAAGGCAGCUUACUGGAACUGUAUUGACGUUCAUGAACGAAAGCGUGGGUAGCGAAAAGGAGUAGAAACCCUUGUAGUCC
This 274-nucleotide ribosomal RNA is filed under the name uncultured bacterium. Its description in RNAcentral is "partial 16S ribosomal RNA". It matches the Rfam family "Bacterial small subunit ribosomal RNA", at positions 523 to 796 of the family's 1533-position model. The record is from RNAcentral.